AACAUGGAAUUCGUCAAUAGAAACAGGCACAACUGACUCAACAGAAUUGUUCCUUCUGGUUUCAACAUCGUGCAGUCUUCUGGUGUUUUUAUUAUCAAUUGCAUCAUUAAUAUACUGCCAUCAAAAGCUUACAACUCUAAAAGUAACAGAAACUAAAACCCAACAAAAUAAUCUAUAUAGUGUAGAGGAAGUUAAUACAGAUGAAAAUAUUGAAAACGAGCCUGAUGAGACUCCAGAUGAUCCUAUUUAUAACAGCUAUGAAGAACCUUGUUACAGCAUUCUCAAGCUAAAGGUUAACCGAUCAUCUUUGUGUGUAAUGGAACAGCCUUGAAGCUUCAUGCAGUUUUAAUGA
Long non-coding RNA from Saccostrea cuccullata (small rock oyster), 352 nucleotides. RefSeq lists it as uncharacterized. The record is from RefSeq and is a predicted model, not a curated record. The transcript is spliced from 3 exons. NCBI's taxonomy places the organism in Eukaryota, Metazoa, Mollusca, Bivalvia, Ostreida, Ostreidae.